Molecule: ribosomal RNA, 253 nt
Filed under: uncultured bacterium
Lineage: Bacteria
Description: partial 16S ribosomal RNA
Rfam family: Bacterial small subunit ribosomal RNA
Source: RNAcentral
UACGGAGGGUGCAAGCGUUGUUCGGAAUGACUGGGCGUAAAGCGCACGUAGGCGGGUUUUUAAGUCGGAUGUGAAAUCCCCGGGCUCAACCUGGGAACAGCAUACGAAACUGGAGAUCUUGAAUGCUCGAGAGGCCAGUGGAAUUCCAGGUGUAGGAGUGAAAUCCGUAGAUAUCUGGAGGAACACCAGAGGCGAAGGCGGCUGGCUGGCGAUGCAUUGACGCUGAGGUGCGAAAGCGUGGGGAGCAAACAGG